This 353-nucleotide small RNA is filed under the name Arabidopsis thaliana (thale cress). RNAcentral describes it as "ATSL166700". Lineage: Eukaryota; Viridiplantae; Streptophyta; Magnoliopsida; Brassicales; Brassicaceae. The record is from RNAcentral.
AUACAUCCAAAAUAUUCGAAAACAAUGUCCGAACAUAUAAUUUUCGCCCCGUAAUAUAACAAAGAUCACGAAAAGGCCCGAAAAAGUACAUUAAGGUCAAAAGUUGGAGUAGAAAAAAAAAACAAUAGAAGAAUUCCAUUUUGCUUCCUCAUUCAUUGGAGAGCUCUCUUUGGGCUUUCCGAAAAGGUAUCACAUGCCAAGUGUUUGGCAUCACGGUCUAAAAGUUCUAGAGUCAUACAUUUUUGACAAAAGAAAAAGAGAAAAACCGAAAAAAAGAGGGAUGAAACACGAGGACUUUCCUGGAGGUCACCCAUCCUAGUACUACUCUCGCCCAAGCACGCUUAACUGCGGUU